AUUGAACGCUGGCGGCAUGCUUUACACAUGCAAGUCGAACGGUAACAGGCCUUCGGGUGCUGACGAGUGGCGAACGGGUGAGUAAUGCAUCGGAACGUACCCAGAGGUGGGGGAUAACGCAGAGAAAGCUGUGCUAAUACCGCAUGUGAUCUGAGGAUGAAAGCGCGGGACCGAGCAGCAAUGUUUGGCCUCGCGCCUUUGGAGCGGCCGAUGUCGGAUUAGCUAGUGGGUGGGGUAAAGGCCUACCAAGGCGACGAUCCUUAGCUGGUCUGAGAGGACGACCAGCCACACUGCGACUGAGACACGGCCCAGACUCCUACGGGAGGCAGCGGUGGGGAAUUUUGGACAAUGGGCGCAAGCCUAAUCCAGCAAUGCCGCGUGCGGGAAGAAGGCCUUCGGGUUGUAAACCGCUUUUGGCAGGAACGAAACGGUGUCCGCUAAUACCGGGCGCUAAUGACGGUACCUGCAGAAUAAGCACCGGCUAACUACGUG
This 492-nucleotide ribosomal RNA is filed under the name uncultured bacterium. RNAcentral describes it as "partial 16S ribosomal RNA". It matches the Rfam family "Bacterial small subunit ribosomal RNA", at positions 30 to 507 of the family's 1533-position model. The record is from RNAcentral.